RNAcentral lists this transfer RNA (72 nucleotides) under Bos taurus (domestic cattle). It matches the Rfam family "tRNA". Rfam says of the family: Transfer RNA (tRNA) molecules are approximately 80 nucleotides in length. Their secondary structure includes four short double-helical elements and three loops (D, anti-codon, and T loops). The record is from Rfam by way of RNAcentral. Lineage: Eukaryota; Metazoa; Chordata; Mammalia; Artiodactyla; Bovidae. RNAcentral also lists the same sequence under 6 other names.
UCCCUGGUGGCUCAGACGGUAAAGCGUCUGCCUGCAAUGCAGGAGACCCGGGUUCGAUCCCUGGGUUGGGAA